ACCAAACCUAGCCCUAAUAACACCCAAAUCCAACUAUAAAUAAUAACAAUAAAACAAAUCAUUUGACAAAAGAAAGUAUUGGAGAAAGAAAUCUACUUCAGGAGCUAUAGAGAAAGUACCGCAAGGGAAAGAUGAAAGAACAACUUAAAAGUAAAAAUAAGCAAAGAUUAAACCUUGUACCUUUUGCAUAAUGAGUUAACUAGAAAACGUCUAACUAAGAGAUCUUAAGCUAGACACCCCGAAACCAAACGAGCUACCUAAGAGCAGUAAAAGAACUAACCCGUCUAUGUAGCAAAAUAGUGGGACGACUCCUAGGUAGAGGUGAAAAGCCUACCGAGCUUGGUGAUAGCUGGUUACCCGACAAAGAAUUUCAGUUCAACUUUAAGAUUACCACAAGAAAUAAUAAUCAAAAUGUAAUCUUAAAUUUUAACCUGAAGGGGGACAGCUCUUCAGGGAUGGAAACAACCUUUUAUAGUGAAUAAAUACCUCAACCCAAAAAACCAUUGUUGGCCUAAAGGCAGCCACCAAUAAAGAAAGCGUUAAAGCUCAACACUAUAAACCUCUUAAUACCAUAAACCACAAUGACUUCCUAUAGUAAUAAUCGGGUUAAUCUAUAACUAUAUAGAUGAGAUACUGUUAACAUGAGUAACAAGAACACACUGUUCUCCAAGCACAAGCCUAUAACAACCCGGAUAACCAUUGUUAGUUAACAUUAACAGGUAAAUACACCACCAAUAAAACUAACCUCUACCAAAAAUGUUAAUCCAACACAGGCGUGCAAUAAGGAAAGAUUAAAAGAAGUAAAAGGAACUCGGCAAACAAGAAUCCCGCCUGUUUACCAAAAACAUCACCUCUAGCAUGAAAAGUAUUAGAGGCACUGCCUGCCCAGUGACAAACGUUUAACGGCCGCGGUAUCCUGACCGUGCAAAGGUAGCAUAAUCACUUGUUCCUUAAUUGGGGACUGGAAUGAAUGGCCUCACGAGGAUUCAACUGUCUCUUACCUCUAAUCAGUGAAAUUGACCCCCCCGUGAAGAGGCGGGGAUAUCAUAAUAAGACGAGAAGACCCUAUGGAGCUUUAAUUUACUAGCUUAACCACAUGACCAACAACCCUAAGGGGAUAAACAAAGAGAGAUAAGCUAAUAAUUUUGGUUGGGGUGACCUCGGAAAACAAAACAACCUCCGAACGAUUUUAACUAAGACCUACAAGUCAAAGUACCAGAAUCCAAUUGACCCAAUUCAUUUGAUCAACGGACCAAGUUACCCUAGGGAUAACAGCGCAAUCCUAUUCAAGAGUUCAUAUCGACAAUUAGGGUUUACGACCUCGAUGUUGGAUCAGGACAUCCCAAUGGUGCAGCAGCUAUUAAAGGUUCGUUUGUUCAACGAUUAAAGUCCUACGUGAUCUGAGUUCAGACCGGAGUAAUCCAGGUCGGUUUCUAUCUAUUUACUAUUUCUCCCAGUACGAAAGGACAAGAGAAAUGAGGCCUCCUUAACAUAAGCGCCUUAAAACUAAUAUAUGAAAUUAUCUUAAUUUAGUAAGUUUGUUCAACUAUACCCUAGACAAGGGUUUU
Molecule: ribosomal RNA, 1568 nt
Filed under: Microtus californicus (California vole)
Lineage: Eukaryota; Metazoa; Chordata; Mammalia; Rodentia; Cricetidae
Description: 16S ribosomal RNA
Rfam family: Bacterial large subunit ribosomal RNA
Source: RNAcentral